This 544-nucleotide long non-coding RNA is filed under the name Lathyrus oleraceus (garden pea). Its description in RNAcentral is "Pisum sativum (pea) long non-coding RNA (PSAT_LNC010762)". The record is from RNAcentral. Lineage: Eukaryota; Viridiplantae; Streptophyta; Magnoliopsida; Fabales; Fabaceae.
UGUUAUUUUAUAAAUUUGAAGACUAAUUGAUCACCUACCAAACCCCAAGGUUAAUUUUGGAAUUUCAAAUAAUUAGAAAACCCUAAGAAGAAAUUAUAAAUGUAAAGUAAUUGGGACUGGUAGAAAAAACUGGGUGGCUACUUGAGUACCCUCUCUUCCUAAUUCACCCCCUUUCACUCAAAAAAUAAACAGAAAAAUAAUUUUAAAAAAGAAGAAAAACCAAAAAAAAGAAAACUAAAGAAGAUUUCCUUCUUCUUCGUGCAAACCACUAUAUCCUCUCUUUCUCUCAACUCACAAAAAUGGAAAAGAAAAAAAAGUGAAAAAAAGAAGAAUAAAAAAAAUAGAAGGAAGAACGAUCUUCUUCUUUGCAGAACCAACAAUUUUCGCCCCUUCUCACUCCCUUCUUCCUCGCAUCCGCCGCCACCAUAAUACUAACAACCUUCAAACCUUCUUCUUUCUCUCAUCCCCCAGUAACCACCAUCGUUGAAUCUCCAUAUCUCUCUUCAAGUUGUGCCACCACCCUUCGCAUCCCUCAAAACGGUUG